Molecule: long non-coding RNA, 1771 nt
Organism: Anser cygnoides (Swan goose)
Lineage: Eukaryota; Metazoa; Chordata; Aves; Anseriformes; Anatidae
Source: Ensembl
UGGGUAACAAGGCCACUGAGUAACGAGGCCGGCAGGUAACGAGGCUGGAGAGUAACAAGGCCCAGGGGUAGAGAGGCUGGCAGGUAGCGAGGCCGGAGUGUAAUGAGGCCGGCAGGUAACGAGGUGGGGAGGUAGAGAGGCCAGCAGGUAGAGGCCGGUGGGUAACGAGGCCGCUGAGUAAUGAGGCCGGCAGGUAACGAGGCCGGAGCAUAACGAGGCCGGCAGGUAACGAGGUGGGGAGGUAGAGGCCGGUGGGUAACGAGGCCGUCAGGUAACGAGGCCGGCAAGUAGAGAGGCCGGCAGCCUUCGGCCUCGGCACCGGGACCCCGGAGGAGGAAGAGGAGGAGGAGGAGGAAGAGCGAAGGCCACCGCGUGCCGCGGGCGAUGCUCGGCGCGCGGGGGUGACCCCCACGGCACCGGCAUGCCCCCGGGGGCCCCGCGGCCAAGCCCCGAGCCCCCCCCCGCCGCCGCCGCCUCCGCCUCCGCCGCGGCGAUGGCCGAGCACGCGGAGCUGCUGGCGGAGAUGCCGGCGGUGAGCAGGAUGAGCGCGGCCGAGCGCCUGAAGCACGCCCAGAAGCGCCGCGCGCAGCAGCUCAAGGCCUGGGCGCAGCUGGAGAAGGAGGCGCGGGGCGGCGGCGACGGCGGCGGCAGCGGGGCGAGGAGGAGGAGGAGGAGGAAGAGCGACGGCGACGACGGCGAGGGUGAGGGCGGCGCGGAGAAGCGCGUGAGGUUCCCCGCCAACGUCCGGCUGCUGGAGGCCGGCGCCGGCGUCAACGCCCGCGACGCCGAGCUCUGGACGCCGCUGCACGCCGCCGCCACCUGCGGCCACCGGCACCUGGUGGAGCUGCUGGUGGCGCGGUGAGCGCGGGGCGGGCGGCGUGGCCCCCCCGUGUCCCUACAUCCCCGUGUCCUUGUGUCCCCGUGUCCCCAUGUCCCCGUGUCCCCAUGUCCCCGUGUCCCCAUGUCCUUGUGUCCACGCGUCCCCGUGUCUCAUCUCCCCGUGUCGCUGUGUCCUUGCAGUGUCCCCAUGUCCCUGUGCCUCGUGUCCCCAUGUCCCUACAUCCCCAUGUCCUCGUGUGCCCAUGUCCCCGUGUCCUCAUGUCCCCGUGCCCCUGCAUCUUUUUGUCCUCAUGUCCUCGUGUCCUCACAGCAUUCCCAUGUCCCGUUUUGCGUCCCCAUGUCCCCAUGUCCCCACGUCUCAUGUCCCCGUGUCCUCAUGUCCAUGCGCCCCCACGUCUCACAUUCCCAUGUCCCCGUGUCCUCACAGUGUCCCCGUGUCCUCAUGUCCCCAUGUCUCACACCCCCGUGUCUCACUUUCCCAUGUCCUUGUGGUGUCCCCAUGUCCCUGUGUCCCCACGUCCCCACCUCUCACGUCCCCAUGUCCCUGAGUCCCCGUGUCCCCAUGUCCUUGUGGCAUCCCCCUUUCCCCACGUCCCCGCGCUUCAUGUCCCCAUGUCCUCGUGUCCCUGCAUCCCCACGUCCCCACGUCCCUGUGGUGUCCCCAUGUCCCUGUGGUGUCCCCACGUCCCUGUGGUGUCCCCAUGUCCCUGUGGUGUCCCCACGUCCCUGUGGUGUCCCUAUGUCCCCCUGUACCCACGUCACCACGCCUCACGUCUCUGUACCAUCCCCGUGGCACCCCCGUUUCGCCACGUCCCCACGUCCCCACAUCUCCCAGCCCCAUGUCCCUCUGUCCCCACGUCCCCACGUCCCACAGCCCCGCGCCCCCACGCCUUACGCCACCCCGCUCCCGUCCCCGCCGCAGCGGCGCCAA